RNAcentral lists this transfer RNA (87 nucleotides) under Planctomycetota bacterium. RNAcentral's name for it is "tRNA-Ser". It matches the Rfam family "tRNA". From Rfam's summary of the family: Transfer RNA (tRNA) molecules are approximately 80 nucleotides in length. RNAcentral also lists the same sequence under 1 other name. The record is from RNAcentral. Lineage: Bacteria; Pseudomonadati; Planctomycetota.
GGAGAGGUGACAGAGCGGCCGAUUGUGCCGGUCUCGAAAACCGGUGUGGGCGAGAGCCUACCGAGGGUUCAAAUCCCUCCCUCUCCG